GAGUUCGGGUCUAGAAAACCAGGUACUUAUGAAAUGAAAGUAGACCCAGAACUCAAAAAUGUCAUGUCCAAUCUGGUGACUAGAAUGAACAACUUAAGUAAAAAGUUUGAUGCUUUCACUGUUUCCACUAGCUCGAGUUCAUAUAAAGAGUUAAAUCCCAUCAUGAAAGUGGAUCACGAGUCACAUAGUUUAUGUAUCUUGUGUAACAGUUCUGAGCAUCUAGUGGAGUGUUGUCCUAGUUUACCCAACAUUAAGGCUGAGCAGCAAAUGCUCUAAACUCAUAUAGUGCCUUCAAGAAGCCCACUCC
Molecule: long non-coding RNA, 307 nt
Filed under: Phoenix dactylifera (date palm)
Lineage: Eukaryota; Viridiplantae; Streptophyta; Magnoliopsida; Arecales; Arecaceae
Description: long non-coding RNA (PDAC_LNC009649)
Source: RNAcentral